CAGGGCGGUGGCGAGGUUGCCCGCCCGGGGCCGGAGGGGCCGGCCGAUCCUGUCGUGAUGCGUCAUGUGCUGCCCGUGACUGUCUUGGC
Molecule: transfer RNA, 89 nt
Filed under: Methylobacterium dankookense
Lineage: Bacteria; Pseudomonadati; Pseudomonadota; Alphaproteobacteria; Hyphomicrobiales; Methylobacteriaceae
Description: tRNA-Pro
Source: RNAcentral